CAGUUUGAAAAGGAAACAAUUUCGGUAAGCAAAAUGUAACGCAACCAGAAUUCACAUACAAAGCAUACAAUACUCAAAAUAAGGACAGAGUUACCCUCCUUCUUCGCGACCGGAGAAGAUCGGCCUUCAAUCAACAGAUAAAACCCUAGGUCCAACACCAGAAACCGUAGGUUCUGAAACUCACCAGAAUAAGGUCGCCGGAAAAUUACCCAAAGCGCCUAUCAAGCGAAGAUAAAGUCAUCGGAUAACAUCAAAACUCUAGGUCCGAAAAUCGGAAAACCCUAGAAUUUGAAGAAUCGUCGGGAUAAAGCCAGGGAUGCCGGAAAAUUACCCAAAACACCAACUGAUACAGGAUCGGAACCUCGGAUAACAGGAAAAUUCCGAUUAUCCGCUCAACAUUCGUUGAAACAUCUACGAACAGUAUCUCUCACCGGAAACCAUAAAAAAAAGCUUCUGCAAAAGCUUCAAACGGGAUCGAUAACACAUAACUGAGAAGGAUCUGAAGAUCAUCUGGCUCUGAUACCAUGAGAACAUGUUGGUUUGAAGGUAAAAAUGACGAAGAACACAGUGAGAGAAAAGAGGUAGGUGAAGGAACUCUCUGGAAAAAGCCAGAGAAAAAA
Molecule: long non-coding RNA, 620 nt
Filed under: Nicotiana benthamiana
Lineage: Eukaryota; Viridiplantae; Streptophyta; Magnoliopsida; Solanales; Solanaceae
Description: long non-coding RNA (NBEN_LNC029230)
Source: RNAcentral